RNAcentral lists this transfer RNA (87 nucleotides) under Candidatus Cloacimonadota bacterium. RNAcentral's name for it is "tRNA-Leu". It matches the Rfam family "tRNA". Rfam says of the family: Transfer RNA (tRNA) molecules are approximately 80 nucleotides in length. Lineage: Bacteria; Pseudomonadati; Candidatus Cloacimonadota. The record is from RNAcentral.
GCAGAAGUGGUGAAAUUGGUAGACACGCUAGGUUCAGGGUCUAGUGAGCUUACGCUCGUAGGGGUUCAAAUCCCCUCUUCUGUACCA